Long non-coding RNA from Dermacentor silvarum, 456 nucleotides. RefSeq lists it as uncharacterized. The transcript has 3 exons. The record is from RefSeq and is a predicted model, not a curated record. Lineage: Eukaryota; Metazoa; Arthropoda; Arachnida; Ixodida; Ixodidae.
UCGGGUGCAGAACACGCGAAACAGACGGCAAGCGACUCUUCCGGAUUCCAUCAGCGAAGCGAGACGCGGCGCAGAGGAAGGUCUGGCUUCAAAGAAUCAGCCGCGCUGAUUUCAACCCAACACAAUGGUCCCGGCUGUGUGAGGAUCACUUCACGGAUGAUCAAUUUGAGCCGGUGAUUCUGCAGAGCUGUGGCACAAAAAAAUUGAAGCGUCAAGCCAUUCCAUCGCUCUUCGUUCAUCGGAAGCAGCUGAAGCAGAGGAAGCCGCCUGCCAAACGUUCUGGUGUGACAUCUUGCAGCACACAUUUUUCACCAUCACAAGAGAGAAAUGGUGUUGUUGGUGAGUCAGUAAUUACUGUGUGAUGCCAAUCACCAUGUUGCACUUGGUACGAUGCAAAGCCCAUUGAUGGUGAAUGUUCUUUUUUUUCAUGAACUCUUUGGAAGCUGGCUCUGCUGA